Molecule: ribosomal RNA, 222 nt
Filed under: uncultured bacterium
Lineage: Bacteria
Description: partial 16S ribosomal RNA
Rfam family: Bacterial small subunit ribosomal RNA
Source: RNAcentral
AGUAAUGUAUGGGGAUCUGCCUGAUGGCGGGGGGUAACUACUGGAAACGGUAGCUAAUACCGCAUAAUGUCUGCGGACCAAAGCGGGGGACCUCCGGGCCUCGCGCCAUCAGAUGAACCCAUAUGGGAUUAGCUAGUAGGUAAGGUAACGGCUUACCUAGGCGACGAUCCCUAGCUGGUCUGAGAGGAUGAUCAGCCACACUGAGACUGAGACACGGCCCAG